AGCAGGCUAUUUCAUUUGGUCAAAGAAAUAUUGAUCAUUGUGAUUUUAUGUGGAUAAAUCGGUCGUGUAUUUAAUAGCCGACAUUUAUAACACUGAUUAUCACAUUCUGAGGACGUUUUUCGUGAGGAAGAAAGUAUCUAUAGCAACAGAGAAAAAGAUGGGACGCUGGUUUGUGCUGAUCACUCUCUGCGUUUUGCUCGUUGAUGGUGUGUUUUGUGAUGAAAUGAUGACAGUGUCAGUGAUGGAUGGAGAUUCUGUUACUCUACACACUGGCGUUAC
Molecule: non-coding RNA, 279 nt
Organism: Pimephales promelas (fathead minnow)
Lineage: Eukaryota; Metazoa; Chordata; Actinopteri; Cypriniformes; Leuciscidae
Source: RefSeq, a predicted model, not a curated record